Molecule: ribosomal RNA, 417 nt
Filed under: uncultured bacterium
Lineage: Bacteria
Description: bacterial SSU rRNA
Rfam family: Bacterial small subunit ribosomal RNA
Source: RNAcentral
GGAAUAUUGGUCAAUGGAGGCAACUCUGAACCAGCCAUGCCGCGUGCAGGAAGACCGCCCUCUGGGUCGUAAACUGCUUUUAUUCGGGAAUAAACCUCAUUACGUGUAGUGGGCUGAAUGUACCGAAGGAAUAAGUAUCGGCUAACUCCGUGCCAGCAGCCGCGGUAAUACGGAGGAUCCAAGCGUUAUCCGGAUUUAUUGGGUUUAAAGGGUGCGUAGGCGGCUUAUUAAGUCAGGGGUGAAAGACGGUGGCUCAACCAUCGCAGUGCCCUUGAUACUGAUGAGCUUGAAUACACUAGAGGUAGGCGGAAUGUGACAAGUAGCGGUGAAAUGCAUAGAUAUGUCACAGAACACCGAUUGCGAAGGCAGCUUACUAUGGUGUGAUUGACGCUGAGGCACGAAAGCGUGGGGAUCAAA